CCUACGGGGGGCAGCAGUGAGGAAUAUUGGUCAAUGGACGAGAGUCUGAACCCGUCAAGUAGCGUGAAGGAUGACUGCCCUAUGGGUUGUAAACUUCUUUUAUAUGGGAAUAAAAUGUUCCACGUGUGGGAUUUUGUAUGUACCAUAUGAAUAAGGAUCGGCUAACUCCGUGCCAGCAGCCGCGGUAAUACGGAGGAUCCGAGCGUUAUCCGGAUUUAUUGGGUUUAAAGGGAGCGUAGGUGGAUUGUUAAGUCAGUUGUGAAAGUUUGCGGCUCAACCGUAAAAUUGCAGUUGAAACUGGCAGUCUUGAGUACAGUAGAGGUGGGCGGAAUUCGUGGUGUAGCGGUGAAAUGCUUAGAUAUCACGAAGAACUCCGAUUGCGAAGGCAGUUCACUGGACUGCAACUGACACUGAGGCUCGAAAGUGUGGGUAUCAAACAGGAUUAGAUACCCGAGUAGUC
RNAcentral lists this ribosomal RNA (460 nucleotides) under uncultured bacterium. RNAcentral's name for it is "partial 16S ribosomal RNA". It matches the Rfam family "Bacterial small subunit ribosomal RNA", at positions 338 to 795 of the family's 1533-position model. The record is from RNAcentral.